Molecule: ribosomal RNA, 524 nt
Filed under: uncultured bacterium
Lineage: Bacteria
Description: partial 16S ribosomal RNA
Rfam family: Bacterial small subunit ribosomal RNA
Source: RNAcentral
GACGAACGCUGGCGGCGUGCCUAAUACAUGCAAGUCGAACGAAGCUGUUUUAACUGGUGCUUGCACCGACUUAAACAACUGAGUGGCGAACGGGUGAGUAACACGUGGGUAACCUGCCCCAAAGCGGGGGAUAACAUUUGGAAACAGAUGCUAAUACCGCAUAACCACAGAAACCACAUGGUUUCUGUGUCAAAGAUGGUUUCGGCUAUCACUUUGGGAUGGACCCGCGGCGUAUUAGACAGUUGGUAAGGUAAGGGCUUACCAAGGCAAUGAUACGUAGCCGAACUGAGAGGUUGAUCGGCCACAUUGGGACUGAGACACGGCCCAAACUCCUACGGGAGGCAGCAGUAGGGAAUCUUCCACAAUGGACGAAAGUCUGAUGGAGCAACGCCGCGUGAGUGAAGAAGGUUUUCGGAUCGUAAAACUCUGUUGUCAGAGAAGAACGUGUGCGAGAGUAACUGCUCGUGCAGUGACGGUAUCUGGCCAGAAAGCCACGGCUAACUACGUGCCAGCAGCCGCAGUAA